This 262-nucleotide ribosomal RNA is filed under the name uncultured Staphylococcus sp. Its description in RNAcentral is "partial 16S ribosomal RNA". It matches the Rfam family "Bacterial small subunit ribosomal RNA", at positions 99 to 355 of the family's 1533-position model. Lineage: Bacteria; Bacillati; Bacillota; Bacilli; Caryophanales; Staphylococcaceae. The record is from RNAcentral.
CGGACGGGUGAGUAACACGUGGAUAACCUACCUAUAAGACUGGGAUAACUUCGGGAAACCGGAGCUAAUACCGGAUAAUAUAUUGAACCGCAUGGUUCAAUAGUGAAAGACGGUUUUGCUGUCACUUAUAGAUGGAUCCGCGCCGCAUUAGCUAGUUGGUAAGGUAACGGCUUACCAAGGCAACGAUGCGUAGCCGACCUGAGAGGGUGAUCGGCCACACUGGAACUGAGACACGGUCCAGACUCCUACGGGAGGCAGCAGC